CAGAAAUGUUCUUCCUCUUAGGCAUAGGAAUUGUUUUGUUUAGAAUCUUUGAAUGACAGAUCUCUGAUAUAACUGCAUUUUUUUACAGGACAGAAUGACACAUGGUACAAGCUUUCUGUCUUACUGCCACACGUCAGUGUCCUGGGAGAUGAACCAGAUGCAGCUCCCUGAUGAAUGUGGGAAUAAAAAUUUAUAUCAGAAUCGACACUGGUUAUAAUGUGAAUUUAUGACAUUACUUGAGAAUAUUCAAUUCUGCUGUAGAGGACAAAAAAAAUGGAAUAAUGAAAUCCAUCAUAAACCCUGGGCAUAGUUGAUGAUAAAAGUGCUGGCCAGGCGUGGUGGCUCAUGCCUGUAAUCCCAGCACUUUGGGAGGCCGAGGCGGGUGGAUUACCUGAGAUCAGGAGUUCAAGACCAGCCUGGCUAACAUGGCGAAACCCCGUCUCUGCUAAAAAUACAAAAAUUAGCUGGGUGUAGUGGCAUGCACCUGUAAUCCGAGCUAUCCAGGAGACUGAGACAGGAGAAUCGCUUGAACCUGGAGGCAAUGGAGUCUUGCUGUUUUGCCCAGGCUGGAGUGCAGUAGUGCGAUCUUGGCUCACUGCAACAUCUGCCUCCCAGGUUCAAGUGGUUCUCCUGCCUUAGCCUCCCCAGUAGCUGGGGUGACAGGUAUGCACCAUGUUGCCCAAGUUUUUGCAUUAUUUAGUAGAGAUGGGGUUUCACCACAUUGCCCAGGCUGGUCUUGAACUCUUGACGUCAAGUGAUCUGCCCGCCUCGGCCUCCAAAGGUGCUGGGAUUACAGGCAUGAGCCACUGCGCCCAGCCAAGAUUUUCUUGGAUUUUUUUCUCUGUCAUUAAGUGUAGUCUCUAUUUCUACCUGCUUUGUACUACAAACCAAUUUAAAUAAGCAUGCUGUCUUUCUCCAUAAAAACAUUAAACUGUAGAACAAUGUUUUUAUGGAGAAAAAGAGCUAAAGUCACAUGCUGGUGGAGCAUAAAACGCUCACUUGAAGAACACCUUGGUAAUGGCUCCAGCUAACUGUACCAUGACCUAAUCCUGUGGCUGGAACCUCUGGGGAGUCUUAUCCACCUCCCCAAAUCCAUUUGACAAGCUCAGGUCCAAUACCACUUCUUUCAUGGGCUAUUCUCUGAUCUUCUCAGAAUGUCUAUCUUCUAUUGAAUUUGCCACAAUAUUUUGUUUGUACUACUCUUGAGACAUCCCACACAACCUUGAAUUAUAAUUGCUCACAUGGGUGUCUCAGCAUUUAUUCUAGACCAUAAGAUACUUAAAAGGAGGAAUUGUGAUUUCUUUGACAGUUUUGUCUCUUAGAAUUUAAGGGUGAGGGUGCUUAAUAAGUAUUAGAAAUAACGGAUAAGUAAAAUAUUCAGUGCUAUUAAAAAUACUAUUAAAUCUCAACACCUCCAGGGGUUACAUAUCUGAAAAAAGAUAUCAUACAUAUCUAUAUAAAUUCUAAAAUAAAUUGAAAUAGUCCAUAUCAAAAACCCUGCUGGAGUAGGUAACUCUUCACAAUCGACUUCAAUUAUUCAUGAUAUAAUUUUUGCAGGCACAUCAAAAAUUGUAUGUUUAGAGGUUAGAGGAUGAAUCCUCUUACAGUUUUCAAACCAGUCUGUACUAGCUUGAAAUGUAAUGUUUCUUGCACUUGAAUUUUCCCUGCUUUGUGUCUGCCAGUCUUGGCCCAAUGCUUGGGUACUUUUUUUAUGUUAUUGUGGUGCUUACAGGUGUUUUUCCAGCUGUGUUUUUCUAUCCUGAGGUUACAUCGGAGUAUGACAUGAUCAAACCUCUUCUUUGCACCAUGUCACAGAACCACCUUAAUGGAAGAGUGGACAAUAACUAUUGUGGUUUUCUCCUAUUUCAGGUGAUGGAAUGGAACCAUGUGUGUACAAAAAGAUACAGGAAUGUACAUAUUCAGUUUGCAAUAUAAAAACAUACACUGUGAUUGGAGAGGGAUUACAACAUUCUAAUUGCAAUUUUUGUCAUUUAUUCAAUAAAUAUUUCCUGGCUGGGUAUGAUGGCUCAAAGUGCCUGUAAUCCCAGCACUUUGGGAGGCCAAAGCAGGCAAAUCACCUGAGGUCAGGAGUUUGAGACCAGCCUGGCCACCAUGGUGAAACCCCAUCUCUACUAAAAAUACACAAAUUAGCUGGGUGUGGUGGUGCAUGCCUGUAAUCUCAGCUACCUGGGAGGCUGAGGCAGGAGAAUUGCUUGAACUCGGGAGGCGGAGGUUGCAGUGAGCUGAGAUUGCACCACUGCACCCCAGCCUGGGCAACAGAGUGAGACUCUGUCUCAAAACAAACAAACAAACAAACAAACAAAUUCCUGAGUGCCUACCAUAUGCUGAUUAAACUGUUCUAGAUGUUGGAGAUGCAGCUAUGGACAAGACAAAUACAGUCUCUUCUCUCCAGGAAUUUACCUUCUAAUGGAGGAGAGAGACAAAAACAACUUUGUACAUAAACCUUUUCUGAUAGUCAUUAAGAAAAUAAAGCAACAUGGUGUCCAAAUUCUAGAUUGCUCAUUUUAAAGGCUAGGGUGCCUAAAACCACAAGGAACAUUUCAGAAUUAGUAACAUUCAUACUUCGUAGAGCUAUACUUAGGCUAAUAAAUGUUUGGUAUUGUUGCCUCCCCAACAGCCACCUCAGACCACCUCCUGACUCCAAGUUUCCCUGCUCAUCAAUCCAAAAUUUUGUUGAAUAUACUACUUCCCCACCCCCAAUGGAGCUUAAGGGUUAACCUGAACUCUCUAAACCAAUCAGGGCAUUCCUACUGUCUUUGAUCGUGAGUGUUGUAGGCAGAGACAUAUAACCCAAUCCUUGCUAAUGAGACUUGAGGUAGGACCCCAGCUUCCGGAGAGGUUGCCUGGCUCCUAAAAAGAGAAAGAUACCGGAAAAGAGAUGGACUCUUCUACCACUGGAAAUCAGAUGGUGUCCUGAGUGACAUAAGUGUACUUACAACAGCCAUUUUGCAACCAUAAAGAAGCCAGUGGGAAUACACAGGCUACGUGUCCUCGAAGGCACAGAAGAAAGAAGAGAGAAAACUAUAUUCUUGAUGACACAGUUGAGCUACAGAAUUGUCCAACCCCGGAGGUGCCCCACUUCGCGUUGUGGGAGAUAAUGCAUUUUCCUUGCUGUUUAAACCACUUUGAGCUGAGUUUUCUAUUACCAGCAGCCUAAAGCAUUUUGACAGAUAAAAGUAGAUACAAAUGCACAUAUAUAAUGAGCAUCCUGACUGAACGAUUAAAUGUGUAUGUAGGCAUGCAUUACCUCCCCACUCCAUUUAUGAUUGUCACAUUUAUUUUUACUUCAGGGAAAAGCAACUAUAGAAUUUAAAAAAUCAGGAUUGAAAACAAAUACCUGAAUUUCCUACAAUUAAAAAAUCAAUCCAUUAAGUAGUGGUAUUAUGCUAAAAUAAAAUGAAUGCUUAG
This 3429-nucleotide long non-coding RNA is filed under the name Homo sapiens (human). RNAcentral describes it as "PREDICTED lncRNA (TCONS_00233971)". The record is from RNAcentral. Lineage: Eukaryota; Metazoa; Chordata; Mammalia; Primates; Hominidae.